AACGAACGCUGGCGGCAGGCUUAACACAUGCAAGUCGAGCGCCUCGCAAGAGGAGCGGCAGACGGGUGAGUAACGCGUGGAAAUCUACCCAUCUCUACGGAAUAACUCAGGGAAACUUGUGCUAAUACCGUAUACGCCCUGUGGUGGACAGAUUUAUCUGAGAUGGAUGAGCCCGCGUUGGAGUAGCUAGUUGGUGAGGUAAAGGCCUACCAAGGCGACGAUCCAUAGCUGGUCUGAGAGGAUGAUCAGCCACAUUGGGACUGAGACACGGCCCAAACUCCUACGGGAGGCAGCAGUGGGGAAUAUUGGACAAUGGGCGCAAGCCUGAUCCAGCCAUGCCGCGUGAGUGAUGAAGGCCCUAGGGUUGUAAAGCUCUUUCACCGGAGAAGAUAAUGACGGUAUCCGGAGAAGAAGCCCCAGCUAACUUCGUGCCAGCCGCCGCGGUAA
Molecule: ribosomal RNA, 447 nt
Filed under: uncultured bacterium
Lineage: Bacteria
Description: partial 16S ribosomal RNA
Rfam family: Bacterial small subunit ribosomal RNA
Source: RNAcentral